RNAcentral lists this ribosomal RNA (253 nucleotides) under uncultured bacterium. RNAcentral's name for it is "partial 16S ribosomal RNA". It matches the Rfam family "Bacterial small subunit ribosomal RNA", at positions 524 to 776 of the family's 1533-position model. The record is from RNAcentral.
UACGAAGGGGGCUAGCGUUGUUCGGAAUCACUGGGCGUAAAGGGCGCGUAGGCGGCUUUAUAAGUCGGGGGUGAAAGCCUGUGGCUCAACCACAGAACUGCCUUCGAUACUGGAGAGCUUGAGUCCGGGAGAGGUGAGUGGAACUGCGAGUGUAGAGGUGAAAUUCGUAGAUAUUCGCAAGAACACCAGUGGCGAAGGCGGCUCACUGGCCCGGUACUGACGCUGAGGUGCGAAAGCGUGGGGAGCAAACAGG